Molecule: unclassified non-coding RNA, 337 nt
Filed under: soil metagenome
Description: partial contains 5.8S ribosomal RNA, internal transcribed spacer 2, and large subunit ribosomal RNA
Rfam family: 5.8S ribosomal RNA (bases 1-121)
Source: RNAcentral
GAUGAAGAACGUAGCGAAAUGCGAUAAGUAAUGCGAAUUGCAGAAUUCCAGUGAAUCAUCGAAUCUUUGAACGCACAUUGCGCCCCUUGGUAUUCCAUGGGGCAUGCCUGUUCGAGCGUCAUUUGUACCUUCAAGCUUUGCUUGGUGUUGGGUGUUUGUCUCGCCUUUGCGUGUAGACUCGCCUUAAAAUAAUUGGCAGCCGGCGUAUUGAUUUCGGAGCGCAGUACAUCUCGCGCUUUGCACUCAUAACGACAGCGUCCAAAAGUACAUUUUACACUCUUGACCUCGGAUCAGGUAGGGAUACCCGCUGAACUUAAGCAUAUCAAUAAGCGGAGGA